Molecule: long non-coding RNA, 1735 nt
Organism: Rosa rugosa (rugosa rose)
Lineage: Eukaryota; Viridiplantae; Streptophyta; Magnoliopsida; Rosales; Rosaceae
Exons: 3
Source: RefSeq, a predicted model, not a curated record
AUUCCUUCAUCCAUUUCAUCUUCUUUGUCUCUCCAUUUCCUUUCCAUUUUUCUCUCCAUUCUCUAGUUGCAAAAUUCUGCGUUUUCAAGCAAGGAGAGGAAGAAGAAGAAGGAGCGGUGAAGAUCAUAUCCUCCAUCGUCCACCUUGAAGGCUUGCUUCCAAGAUUCAAGAUUCCAACGUACGUUUCAAGCUCUCCAUCUCCAUCUCCAACUCACGGUGUGUACCCUCAAUUCCCGGCUAGAACGAUCCCUACUUAUUCUAUACUAACAACCAAGGUUUUAAAUAUCGGUAUUUUCAUAUCUAUCGGUACGUUGAAAAAGGGAGAUAUCAGAUAUAUUGGGGAUACAGUGUACGAAAAUAUUGUUUUUGAAAAAAGUCAAUUUAUUAGAAAUUUAGAACUACAUAUAAAUACAUAUGAAUGUCAACUUCAUCUACAUCCAAAAAAAGACUCUAGGCGGUUGAAAAGCCGCUCGCUGGUCUACGAAAAUGCAAUAAUCAGACCAAGACAUAUGACCCAUAUAGUGCGAAUUAUAGUGAUGAACAUGAUCGAUAGUUAUAGAUCUCUUUAGAGCUGCCGACUGUUUCUCCUAUAAGGGGAUAAUAAGGAUGAACCCAACUAGAUAACUGAUCAUAUACUUCUCCAUAUUGAUUAUAUCCAUAAGCAUCAUAACCAAAUUGAUUGUUGUCUUCAUGAGAUUCAUUUGAGAUCCCACUGCGCUCUGUGCCUAAACUGAUAGAGUCAAAACUUAAGGCAAUUGAAGAAACAUCAGAUGGGGUACUUUGAUGAUCAGUUGCACCUCUAGUCCUCCUCCCAUAUCGGGUCUUCUCUUGAGCACCAUGACCAGCUGUUCUCACUGCGUGGUCUUCAUCUUGGGUGGCAUGAUCAAAAUUACCUUCACAGGAAAUAAGCGGAAUUACGAAAAUCGAGAGAAAAUGACCUCAAAAUGGAGCAAUUCGGAAUUUCCGACAAAAAGACGAAAUUAUUGAUUUCUUAAUUAAUCAAUUAAGCGUUGGUUAAUUAACCAGCUUAAUUGAUUAUGCAAUGCACGUUUGGUAUACUUAAUCCAAUUAUGAGGUGACAUGUGGCAUUGAUUUGUUUGUUUUGAUCCAAAUUAUGCUGCAGCCAUUACAUGUCUCCUUACCUAAAUAACCAAAACGCACCGCAUCACAUGAAUGGGUCCAAACCCUUGUCUUUUCUCCUUCACACGAAUUGGCAGCCACCCAUAUAUAUAUUCUCCUCUCUCUCGACAGAGGAGAACCCUUCUUCAGCGCCGCACCAAAACAGGGGGCAGCCUUGGGCUGCUCUCACUCUCCCUCCUUUCCCCCCAUUUUUUUUCUUCUUUUCUUUAUAAUUUCUUUUGAGAUUUGAAGAACUACUCACACAAAGCAUCAAGGAUCCAUCAAGGGGCUCAAUCUCUACAAGAUUCAAGAUUUGGGUAUUUUCUGGGAGUUGUAAUUCAAGGCUAGUCAUGCUAGCUUCCUAGCUAUUUGUGACUAUCCUUGUUUUCUCCUACACUUCUCUACUCUUUGCUAUUUGAAUUUUGUAAUUUUGAUGUUCAUGAAUAUGGGUUGUGAGUAGUUACUUUUGGGAGCUAGGGUUUCUAACUCUAGCUCAAUUUUGAUGUAAUGAACAUAUUUUUCAAGUGAUAAAUAAUGUAUUUUCAUAUGGGUGCACUCUAAUUACUAUGUUAAUUGAUUCUUGAUGCAUGAAUUUAGGGAAUUGACCACUCUCUUU